This 62-nucleotide transfer RNA is filed under the name Dipodomys ordii (Ord's kangaroo rat). It matches the Rfam family "tRNA", at positions 6 to 65 of the family's 71-position model. Rfam says of the family: Transfer RNA (tRNA) molecules are approximately 80 nucleotides in length. The record is from Rfam by way of RNAcentral. Lineage: Eukaryota; Metazoa; Chordata; Mammalia; Rodentia; Heteromyidae.
UGGGGCUCAGUGGUAGAGUGCUUGCCUUGCAUGCAUGAGGUCCUGGGUUCGAUUCCUCAGCA